AGCGGAAUAAGCAACACAACAACAACAACAACAACAACAACAACAACAACAGCAAGAGAAGAAUAAGUAGUAGAAAUGGCGAUGUAUUGUAGUUGUCGUUGUUGUUGUUGCUGCUGUUGCUGCUGUUGCUGCUGCUACUGCU
RNAcentral lists this microRNA precursor (142 nucleotides) under Bigelowiella natans CCMP2755. Its description in RNAcentral is "miRNA EPrBNAG00000013609". Lineage: Eukaryota; Cercozoa; Chlorarachniophyceae. The record is from RNAcentral.